AAAUAUUUUAAAUAUUUUAGUAGCGUACGGGUGAAUAAUACAUAAGAAUUUUCAUAAUAGUUUAGAACAAUUUUUUUUAAUUAAAAAAGUAAUACUAAAUAAAUAUUUAUAUCAUGUAUAAAUAUAAAGAUUUAUCGCUAUUAUCAAAGCUUAUGGAGGAUUAGGUAGUUGGUAAGGUAAUGGCUUACCAAGCCAAUGAUCCUUAGCUGGUUUGAAAGAACGGUCAGCCACACUGGGACUGAAACACGGCCCAGACUUCUACGGGGGGCAGCAGUGGGGAAUUUUGGACAAUGAGUGAAAACUUGAUCCAGCGAUAUCACAUGCGUGAAGAAAGCUGAUGAGUCGUAAAACGCUUUCGUCGAUGAAGAUAAUGACAUUAAUCGAAGUAAGAAGCCCUGGCUAAUCCUGUGCCAGCAGCCGCGGUAAUACAGGAGGGGCAAGCGUUAUUCAAAAUUAAUGGGCGUAAAGCGUGCGUAGAUUAUUAAUUAGAUUAUAAAUGAAAGACCAAAACUUAAUUUUGGAGCUAUUUUUAAAAUCGAUUUUAUUUGAGUGAGGGAUACGUUAGUAGAAUUCUUAUAGUAAAAGUAAUAUUUGUCGAUAAUAAGAGGAAUACCUUUGGCGAAGGCGACUAUCUAGAACUACACUGACAUUGAGGCACGAAAGCGUGGGGAGCAAACAGGAUUAGAUACCCUGGUAGUCCACGCAGUAAACGAUGAGUGUUAAAUAUUGGAAUAUUUCAGUGUUUAAGCUAACGCGUUAAACACUCCGCCUGGGGGAGUACGAUCGCAAGAUUGAAACUUAAAGGAAUUGACGGGAGCUCGCAC
RNAcentral lists this ribosomal RNA (824 nucleotides) under uncultured Pseudomonadota bacterium. RNAcentral's name for it is "bacterial SSU rRNA". It matches the Rfam family "Bacterial small subunit ribosomal RNA", at positions 69 to 926 of the family's 1533-position model. Lineage: Bacteria; Pseudomonadati; Pseudomonadota. The record is from RNAcentral.